AUUGAACGCUGGCGGAAUGCUUUACACAUGCAAGUCGAGCGGCAGCACGGGGGUAACCCUGGUGGCGAGCGGCGAACGGGUGAGUAACACAUCGGAACAUGCCCAGUCGUGGGGGGAUAACACUUCGAAAGAAGUGCUAAUACCGCAUACGUCCUGAGGGAGAAAGCGGGGGAUCGCAAGACCUCGCGCGAUUGGAGUGGCCGAUGUCAGAUUAGCUAGUUGGUGGGGUAAAGGCCUACCAAGGCAACGAUCUGUAGCUGGUCUGAGAGGAUGAUCAGCCACACUGGGACUGAGACACGGCCCAGACUCCUACGGGAGGCAGCAGUGGGGAAUUUUGGACAAUGGGGGCAACCCUGAUCCAGCCAUUCCGCGUGAGUGAAGAAGGCCU
This 388-nucleotide ribosomal RNA is filed under the name uncultured bacterium. RNAcentral's name for it is "bacterial SSU rRNA". It matches the Rfam family "Bacterial small subunit ribosomal RNA", at positions 30 to 417 of the family's 1533-position model. The record is from RNAcentral.